RNAcentral lists this non-coding RNA (26 nucleotides) under Rattus norvegicus (Norway rat). The record is from RNAcentral. Lineage: Eukaryota; Metazoa; Chordata; Mammalia; Rodentia; Muridae.
UAUGAAUGGUGGCACUCUUCUUUCCC